UACAGAGGUCUCGAGCGUUGUUCGGAUUCAUUGGGCGUAAAGAGCGUGUAGGCGGCCAGGUAGGUCUGCUGUGAAAACUCGAGGCUUAACCUCGAGCUGUCGGCGGAAACCAUCUGGCUAGAGUCCGGAAGAGGAGAAUGGAAUUCCCGGUGUAGCGGUGAAAUGCGCAGAUAUCGGGAGGAACACCGGUGGCGAAGGCGGCAUCCUGGACCAACACUGACGCUGAGGAGCGAAAGCCAGGGGAGCAAACGGG
RNAcentral lists this ribosomal RNA (253 nucleotides) under uncultured bacterium. RNAcentral's name for it is "partial 16S ribosomal RNA". It matches the Rfam family "Bacterial small subunit ribosomal RNA", at positions 524 to 776 of the family's 1533-position model. The record is from RNAcentral.